Molecule: long non-coding RNA, 406 nt
Organism: Puntigrus tetrazona (Sumatra barb)
Lineage: Eukaryota; Metazoa; Chordata; Actinopteri; Cypriniformes; Cyprinidae
Exons: 2
Source: RefSeq, a predicted model, not a curated record
GAAACCAGUGGAGCGCUUCCCGUCGCGAGCUGAUGCUAAGCGCGCUAAAGCUAACGAGUCUCCGGCUCGGACUGAAGUAAAGAAUCAGAAACGAUGCUCGUCAGUCGACGCUGUUUGGACAGAAUCUGUUCACUCGUUCUUCUGCUGGUGGUUCUACUCUCGUGGGGGUUCGUCAUCUACGGCACACGGAUCGCUGCUCAGUGGGAGCUCGAGAAACGAGAAAAGAUAAAGACGUGAAUCAGCAGACCUCACUUCAGACCAGAAACACACUCUUCAUCAUGUCUCCAGUAUAAUGUGUGACUUUUUAACUUGUAUUUUUUACAUCAAUCAUGUAAAUAUUUUUUUGUAAUGCAUAUGUUUCAAGCUUUUAUUGAGAUCUUUACGAUUAAAUAAUCAUGUUUCUGUA